UAUAAAUAACACUAGAUUGGAAGUCACGUGAUUUUCGGCAUGCGCAAGCAGCCGCCAUUGCUGUGUGUUGAACUUUCAACGUUUGCCAGUGGAACUGACAAUGUUAUUACCGAAUGGUCAUGUCCUCCUCCUCCACCUCCUCACCUACUGUUUGAUAUUUCUGGAUCUGAGCACCUUUCCUCCAAAUGGACUCUGCAAGGUCUUAUAAUUAAAGGUUUGAAGUGCUUUGCAUCAACAGGUGGAGUUCUCUGAAAGAGUGUCCCAGUUUACCUUGCAUAGUUUGUCGUUUCAAUAAGAAUGAUCGGAUGGACAGAAGAUGAUUGUAGCAACUGACACAUUUGUUGUAUCUGAAAGGAUAAAAAAAUAAAAUUAUAUGUGUGUGUGUAUAUAUAUAUAUAUAUAUAUAAAUAGUUUAAAAAUCUUACCAUAAUUCUGAUUUGAAGUAAUCGAAAUAAAACUGACAAAAUUACACUUUUAACUUAAUCAAGCUUGCACUGAAACACUCGUUGUUUUAGCAAUUUGAUUAUGUAAAUAGCACCUUCACUACUACUGUGUAAAUUGCAUUCCAGCCUGAAGAGCCCUGGUAUUGGGUAAAGGUAUUGUGAGCACUUCAUAUAGCAUGGUUAAUACAUUAUUAUACACUCUUUUAUACUUUCAAACAGAAGUUAUUAAUAAAUACUAAAACUGUACAUAAACAAAUUAAGGUGAAAUGAGCAGUAACUGCCUAAUUCAGAGCGACAUUUGAGAAGAAAGUAUUGUAGAACUAAUUAAUCUACAGAAGUAGCUCAGGUGGAAAGAUUAGUGUAGAUAAGUCCUCCAAGAUAUUCUCUUCUCCUCAAGUGUCACUCUGAAUUAGGCAGUCACUGCCCAUUUCAACUUUGUUUGUUUAUCAUGAAGACUCUCCCUAAAUUAUCUAUUACAGAAUAUAUCUGUACACAUAAAGACCUUUAAAAGUUAACAUUUUCGAACACCAAGCAUAGAUAUAUCAAAUUAAAGAAGUAUCAUAACUUUACAGUUUUUACAAACCAAAAUAUUGUAUCUGAAAUUUUUAUAUACCUAAACUGCUUAAAAUUAUAUACAUUUUAAUGCUGUUAAUCAACCAAAAAUGUUUUCAUAUAUUUUGUCACUACCACUAUAAUAAAAUUAAAAUACUGUACUUGGUUAGUUUAACUAUAUUUUUGUAUCUGAAACCUAUAGAAAUUAAUGCAUAUUUGAAGUGUUAAAAUGGGACUUUUAUGUACAUUGAAUCAACCAUAAGACAAUUCCUCAUAAAAGUUGUCACAUAUUGCUCUCACAAAAAGAGUACGUAUAUUGUAUUUAUAAGUAUCUGGAAUGUAAAAUUUGUAGGUGGAAACACAUUAUUUGAAAAUUAAAUAGUGAAUGAAAUAUAUAGAAUGUAUACUUUUUAUCACAAUUUUAAUUAACAAUCAGUAUGAUUCACAGUACAUAAAUUAAAAAACAACAAUUAAAGACUUACAUUUUUUUGUGGAUUAAAAGUGGGUGAUAAAUCACACAUUGCGUAUUUAGUUGGAAGGUCAAAUUUAAGCGGUACAUAAACAUACAGAUCAGAGUUAUCAAUAUUUUAUAAAAUUCAUUACUGUGGCUUAGGAAAAUCUACAUAAAGGUACUUGUAUACUAUUAUACUACAGUUGCAACACAAAGUUUUAUAGACUAAUACAAAGCCAAGGUAUGAGCAGGCACUAAGUGUUUUUUUUAAACUACAGAAUGCUACA
Molecule: long non-coding RNA, 1733 nt
Filed under: Limulus polyphemus (Atlantic horseshoe crab)
Lineage: Eukaryota; Metazoa; Arthropoda; Merostomata; Xiphosura; Limulidae
Description: uncharacterized LOC111085663
Source: RNAcentral